AGGAGGAACAACCCCAGUGGCGGCGGCCAGUUCUGGAACCCUGGCUUCAGCUCCCGCAGUAACUACAGAGCUGUCCUCUCCGUCUGCAGGGGCCUGGAUGUUCCGGGGCGGG
RNAcentral lists this microRNA precursor (112 nucleotides) under Canis lupus familiaris (dog). RNAcentral describes it as "mir-8834 microRNA precursor family". It matches the Rfam family "mir-8834 microRNA precursor family". RNAcentral also lists the same sequence under 1 other name. Lineage: Eukaryota; Metazoa; Chordata; Mammalia; Carnivora; Canidae. The record is from Rfam by way of RNAcentral.